AGGAUGAUUUUUUUCCCUCUUAUUUGACAUUUCUGAAAGUACUCAUUUGCUUCUUGAAAGACAGAAGGGGGAUCAAAUGUUUACUGCCUGAAGACAUUAUCACUGAAAGACAGUUAUUAAGAUGUUGCUCCUGGACUUGUUUAUUUUGGGAAAUAAUACUGACAGGAAUGACGGCACUUUGGAAGAUGGAGAAAGGACAUCACCCAAGGGGCACUGAGUACUUGCAGCACCUGGUGUAAAGGUGCUCACACUGAACCAUCAUAGAAAGCAACAAAUGUGCACCCUUUUCAAGGUUCUUCUAUGAAAAAUGUGAGGCUGGUUCUGCAUAUAAAAAAUUAAGAAAUGAGACAUGUAGAAGAGUAAAUAAAUACUUACUGAGAUGUAUGUAUGAGGAAAAUUCAAAGAGCCAAAUUGCAGGUAAACUAAGGGUACAGUAAACAAUUACUAGGAGCUCAAAACUUAUUAUGGG
RNAcentral lists this long non-coding RNA (469 nucleotides) under Fukomys damarensis (Damara mole-rat). RNAcentral's name for it is "lncRNA (ENSFDAG00000022279.1)". Lineage: Eukaryota; Metazoa; Chordata; Mammalia; Rodentia; Bathyergidae. The record is from RNAcentral.